AGGCUGAAGACCUUACCCGAUUAGCUGAGAGGUGGUGCAUGGCCGUCGUCAGUUCGUACUGUGGAGCAUCCUGUUAAGUCAGGCAACGAGCGAGACCCACGUCCACAGUUGCCAGCAUACCCUCCGGGGUGAUGGGUACACUGUGGAGACCGCCGCUGCUAAAGCGGAGGAAGGAGUGGGCAACGGUAGGUCAGUAUGCCCCGAAUCUCCCGGGCUACACGCGGGCUACAAUGGUUGGUACAAUGGGCAUCUACCCCGAAAGGGGAAGGAAAUCUCUUAAAGCCAAUCGUAGUUCGGAUUGAGGGCUGCAACUCGCCCUCAUGAAGCUGGAAUCCGUAGUAAUCGCGUUUCAACAGAACGCGGUGAAUACGUCCCUGCUCCUU
Molecule: ribosomal RNA, 383 nt
Filed under: uncultured Methanosaeta sp.
Lineage: Archaea; Methanobacteriati; Methanobacteriota; Methanomicrobia; Methanotrichales; Methanotrichaceae
Description: bacterial SSU rRNA
Rfam family: Archaeal small subunit ribosomal RNA
Source: RNAcentral